Molecule: ribosomal RNA, 497 nt
Filed under: uncultured bacterium
Lineage: Bacteria
Description: partial 16S ribosomal RNA
Rfam family: Bacterial small subunit ribosomal RNA
Source: RNAcentral
GAUGAACGCUGGCGGCGUGCCUAAUACAUGCAAGUCGAGCGAACAGACGAGGAGCUUGCUCCUCUGACGUUAGCGGCGGACGGGUGAGUAACACGUGGAUAACCUACCUAUAAGACUGGGAUAACUUCGGGAAACCGGAGCUAAUACCGGAUAAUAUAUUGAACCGCAUGGUUCAAUAGUGAAAGACGGUUUUGCUGUCACUUAUAGCUGGAUCCGCGCCGCAUUAGCUAGUUGGUAAGGUAACGGCUUACCAAGGCGACGAUGCGUAGCCGACCUGAGAGGGUGAUCGGCCACACUGGAACUGAGACACGGUCCAGACUCCUACGGGAGGCAGCAGUAGGGAAUCUUCCGCAAUGGGCGAAAGCCUGACGGAGCAACGCCGCGUGAGUGAUGAAGGUCUUCGGAUCGUAAAACUCUGUUAUUAGGGAAGAACAAAUGUGUAAGUAACUAUGCACGUAUUGACGGUACCUAAUCAGAAAGCCACGGCUAACUACGUG